Molecule: long non-coding RNA, 3130 nt
Filed under: Marmota monax (woodchuck)
Lineage: Eukaryota; Metazoa; Chordata; Mammalia; Rodentia; Sciuridae
Source: RNAcentral
UUUAUUUAAUCAUUUAUUCAUCAUAUAAGAGAUGGCAAAACAGGCAAUGAAAAUUUUAUUAGUAACUGAGGCUUUGCUUCACGCAUUAUUAUGGUUUUAAUGUGAGGCGCCUCCCAAAAGCCCAUGGGUGAGACAAUGCAAGAAGAUUCAGAGGAGAAAUAAUUGGAUUAUGAGAGCCUUAACUCAAUCAGUGAAUUCAUCCUCUGAUGGAAUUAAUUAAGUGGUAACUGAAGGUGGAGAGGUUGUGGCUACAGGAGAUGGGUCAUUGGGGGUGUGCCUUUAAUAUAUAUUUUCUGUCUGGUAAGUGGAGUCUCUUUCUCUGCCUCCUGAUCAUCAUGUGAACUUCUUCCCUCCACCACACUCCUCUGCCAUGAUAUUCAGCCUCACCUUGAGCCCCCAGGAAUGAAGUCAACCUUUGAAACCAUGAGCCCUCAAAUAAACUUUUUCUCCUCUACAAUUGUUCUGGUCAGGUCUUUUAGUCACAGCAGCAGGAAAGCUGACUUUUUCCUUAGAAGGAUAAUAAACAAGCACUAAUGUUGAAAUGCCAAUAGGCUAAGAGUCUUUGGAAAGAAUUGUUUUUCCAAAGCUAAUAAAGUCUAAAACCUCAAAGCAUAAUAACUUAAGUGGCCUACUUUGACCGUUUAUCUAUGUCUUAGUUCAUUUUCUGUUGUUAUAACAAAAUGCCUUGUGGUAAAGGAAAAAGGCUUGGUGAGCUUACAGUUUUGGACAUUCAAGAGCAUGGCAUCACCCUUGAUGAGCUCUGGUGACAUUCUAUGGCAGAUGGUGUCACAUGGUGGAAGUGUGUAUAAAAAGAGAUCACAUGGUAAAGCUAGAAACCAGAGGGAUUCAGAGGUCAGGUUGGUCAUUUUAUAACAACUCACUCUUGAGAGAACUAACUGGGGUCCUACAAGGACUACAUUAAUCCCUGCAGAGGGCAGUGACCCUAAGGACCUAAUAACCUUGCACUGGGCUCCACCUCUUAACGGUUCUACUACCUCUCAGCAUUGGGUCACUGAGGACCAAGCUUCUAGUAUGUGAGACUUUGAAGGAUACACACAAGCCAUAUUCAAGUCAUAACAUUCUGUAAUCUAUUCCAAAAUCCAUUACUUUGAUUCAUUACUUUAAAAUCAACUGUCAUCAACCAGAAGGAAAGGAACCAGAGAGCAUCAGCAACCAGGACUUAAAAACAAGUGACUCUCAAAGUUAACAUUUCAAAUGAAAAGGUUUAAGGUUUUAUUUUAUUCCCAGUAAAAGUAUACCUUCAAGCCCUCAAGAGAGGAAAAGGAAGAAAAGUCAAAAACAAUAAACCUAGCAGUGCUGAGACCUCUACUUCAACAAGGGCCAAGAUGGUCUGGCAGUGGCCUUUCUCAGAUCUUGUCUCUGAGGGGCUGGCAGAGAAACAAAUGGCACUUGGAAUAUGCUUCUUGGUUUCUCUGUUCACUCUCUACCUGUUCUUUCCUGAAUGAAAAGAAAAGUGUUGGCUUUAGAUAAUUUUUCAGAGUUAUCUGAGAUAAGUUAAAAACAAAAUCAAAUAGAAAUAUAUUUCAAGUCACCCAGAAUCUUGUCUUUUAGAUUUCAUCUUUAGGAUCAGUCAAUAAUAUGUUAUAACAUUUUCCUACUAAAAAAAAAGAAUAUCUGGAAAUAUGAAUAUUUCCCUAAGCAACUUAAAUACGCAUAAAAACAUUUUCCCCAUAGGAAAAGGGCACAACUAUCUCAUAUAUUUUAUGUUUACAAAAUAAAAACAUGAUUUUAUAUCUUAAAUAUUUAUUCAUUCUAAAAAAAGAGAGUGAAAGUUACAUGGUGUUAGUUCAACCAGGAAAAUAUAUUUCAUCAUUAUGACAUCCUUUAUCAAUGUUUAUUACUGUGCAGAAAAAUACCAUGCAUUGAGUGACUUAAAGCAGCCACAUUAUGGGUUCAUAAUUCCAUGGAUUAAAUAUAAGCACUGCAUGGCUGAACUCCCACUCAGAAUUACACAACAGAAAUCAAGGUGUCAGCCAGGGCUAUGAUCUUAUCUGGUUUCCUAAUCCUCUUUCAAGCUCCCCACCAAUUGGCAGGAUUAAAAUUUCCUUGCAAUUGUGGACUGAUCUCCUGUUUCCCUGUUAGUUGUGGGUGGAGGACUGUUUUCAACUCUUUGAGGCCACCUCUUGCCAUAUGCCAUCUAUAAAAUGAAUGAAUGUUGCUUUCUUCCAGGCCACUAGAACAUGUCUCUAUGACUUCUCCUGGAACCAGACUGAGAAAAAUUCUUUGCUUUAAAAAAUUUCAGACAGCCAUAUGUGGUGAUGCAACCCUGUAAUCCCAGCACCUCCAGAGGCUGAAGCAGGAGGAUCACAAGUUCGAGGCUCUAAGCAACUUAGGAAGAUCUUGUUUCAAGAUAAAAAAUAAAAAGGGCUGGGGAUGUAGCUCAGUAAUAACUUUGGGUUCAGUCUUUAAUACUGCAAACAACAACAAACUCAUGUGAUUUGAUUAGGAUCACAAAGAAAAUCUCCUUUUCUUGAAGCAAAUUGUGUAACACGACUCAACCUCAUCAGGGUAAAAUCCAUCGUAUUUAUAAUCACAAGGAUUAUGCAGGGCAUGUACAAUAGGGAAGGGAAUCUUGGACGCUAUCUUGGAAUUCUGCUGCUCACAUGUUCUUUUACUAUAAUGAUUACUAGAGGAACAGCGUUUCUAAGGAGUAGGUUUAAAAAAAAAGAAAAAGAAAAAAAGAAAAGAAAGACAGUCCCAAAGAAGAAAUGGUCCCAAUGAAGAUCAAAAGAAGUCAGGGUAAAAAAAAAAAAAACUUGUUAUUGUUGUGUGAUGAGACAGAAAUCUUGACUAUAGUGAUUCCAUUUUGUUUAGUGACUCCAUUUUGUGAAACAGCCAUGCCAACUAGAAAGGUCAUGACUGGGGCAAGUUGUUUUUCCUUUUGUUGUGGAUACCCUCAAGAACACGGAACUAUCUAACUGGGCUUUGUUUCUGUAAAUGGGGUAACUGGGCUUAUUUUGAUUGGCUAACCCUCCCACUUCUGUUAACUUGCUUGCUUGCAUUAGCUAAACCCCCUAACAUCUCUUUUGUGUGUGUGUGUGGUUUUUUUUUUUGCUUAAAUAUGAAGCCAACUUGAAGGGGGUACACCACUCUGACUAUCUCACUUUUA